This 798-nucleotide long non-coding RNA is filed under the name Lathyrus oleraceus (garden pea). RNAcentral describes it as "Pisum sativum (pea) long non-coding RNA (PSAT_LNC022868)". The record is from RNAcentral. Lineage: Eukaryota; Viridiplantae; Streptophyta; Magnoliopsida; Fabales; Fabaceae.
GUUAAACAAAUAUUUAUAAAUAAUUAUGUAUUAAGUAUCAUGUAAUAAAAAUGUGAUAAAUAUUUUUGAAAUAAAAGUAUAAUCAAAAUGAAAUAUAUUUAAAAUAUAAUUAUUCUAAUCUUGCAAACAAAAACAAAGUAUUAUUCACUGGAAGCGGAAAAAAAAAGCGCUCCAAGAUUUGCUCUAAGAAUCUCUCUUGAGGUUGAUUAUUUCAAUAUUUCUUCUUUUCUUUCCCCUCCUUACCCUGUCUUGUCUCAUCUUUCUACAUAGCGUUAUCUUCUCACUUUGUUUUCGUUCUUAUACGGCUAUGUGCUGAUAUCUAUAGUUUUCUCCUCUUUUGAGUGAGUGUCAAAGUUUCCCGACGAAGGAUUUGCUUCUGUUUUCUGGUGCGGUGGUGACCUAUCUUUUCACGUGGUUCUUGACGAUCUCUGUUAUGUUGGUUACUCUUGCCCUUGUUUCGUCCCUGCUGGUGAGUUUUUUCAUCCCGUGGAAGAUCCAAAAAGCAUGGAGAAUGGGAAAAGAUCUCGAUCUACUCUAUACAUCAUCUUCAAGGCUCUGCUUUCGUUGCGCCCUCCCAAAAUCUUUGUCCUUGAUAUUAUGCUAUUGGGGGACUGUAACGACGGACUUGAUAAGGAAAGGAGAAACCUGCAAUUCCAAGUCCAAAUAAAAAAUAUUAAUUUGGAAAAUGACAAAAGUGUAGAAGAAGAUUCUGAUUUCUGCGUUUGGGAUGAAGAAGAUAUAAAAGAAGUUUUCAAAGAAAAUAAAAAAUGUUAUUCCGGGAAAAUUCUUGUCCAAUAA